RNAcentral lists this ribosomal RNA (460 nucleotides) under uncultured bacterium. RNAcentral's name for it is "partial 16S ribosomal RNA". It matches the Rfam family "Bacterial small subunit ribosomal RNA", at positions 338 to 795 of the family's 1533-position model. The record is from RNAcentral.
CCUACGGGAGGCAGCAGUGAGGAAUAUUGGUCAAUGGGCGCGAGUCUGAACCAGCCAAGUAGCGUGAAGGAUGACUGCCCUAUGGGUUGUAAACUUCUUUUAUAUGGGAAUAAAACAGGGCAUGCAUACCCUCCUGUAUGUACCAUAUGAAAAAGGAUCGGCUAACUCCGUGCCAGCAGCCGCGGUAAUACGGAGGAUCCGAGCGUUAUCCGGAUUUAUUGGGUUUAAAGGGAGCGUAGGUGGAGUGUUAAGUCAGUGGUGAAAAUUUGGGGCUCAACCGUAUAAUUGCAGUUGAAACUGGCAGUCUUGAGUACGGGAGAGGUGUGCGGAAUGCGUGGUGUAGCGGUGAAAUGCAUAGAUAUCACGAAGAACUCCGAUUGCGAAGGCAGCUCACUGGACUGCAACUGACACUGAUGCUCGAAAGUGUGGGUAUCAAACAGGAUUAGAUACCCGGGUAGUC